UACGUAGGGGGCAAGCGUUGUCCGGAAUCAUUGGGCGUAAAGCGCGUGUAGGCGGUCCGGUAAGUCGGCUGUGAAAGUCCAGGGCUCAACCCUGAGAGGCCAUUCGAUACGGGACGGCUAGAGGCAGGUAGGGGAAAGUGGAAUUCCUGGUGUAGCGGUGAAAUGCGCAGAUAUCAGGAGGAACACCGGUGGCGAAGGCGGCUUUCUGGGCCUUGCCUGACGCUGAGGAGCGAAAGCUGGGGGAGCGAACAGGAUUAGAUACCCUGGUAGU
RNAcentral lists this ribosomal RNA (271 nucleotides) under uncultured bacterium. RNAcentral describes it as "partial 16S ribosomal RNA". It matches the Rfam family "Bacterial small subunit ribosomal RNA", at positions 524 to 794 of the family's 1533-position model. The record is from RNAcentral.